This 582-nucleotide ribosomal RNA is filed under the name Meyerozyma caribbica. Its description in RNAcentral is "LSU rRNA". It matches the Rfam family "Eukaryotic large subunit ribosomal RNA", at positions 62 to 660 of the family's 3401-position model. Lineage: Eukaryota; Fungi; Ascomycota; Pichiomycetes; Serinales; Debaryomycetaceae. The record is from RNAcentral.
AAACCAACAGGGAUUGCCUUAGUAGCGGCGAGUGAAGCGGCAAAAGCUCAAAUUUGAAAUCUGGCACCUUCGGUGUCCGAGUUGUAAUUUGAAGAUUGUAACCUUGGGGUUGGCUCUUGUCUAUGUUUCUUGGAACAGGACGUCACAGAGGGUGAGAAUCCCGUGCGAUGAGAUGCCCAAUCCUAUGUAAGGUGCUUUCGAAGAGUCGAGUUGUUUGGGAAUGCAGCUCUAAGUGGGUGGUAAAUUCCAUCUAAAGCUAAAUAUUGGCGAGAGACCGAUAGCGAACAAGUACAGUGAUGGAAAGAUGAAAAGAACUUUGAAAAGAGAGUGAAAAAGUACGUGAAAUUGUUGAAAGGGAAGGGUUUGAGAUCAGACUCGAUAUUUUGUGAGCCUUGCCUUCGUGGCGGGGUGACCCGCAGCUUAUCGGGCCAGCAUCGGUUUGGGCGGUAGGAUAAUGGCGUAGGAAUGUGACUUUGCUUCGGUGAAGUGUUAUAGCCUGCGUUGAUGCUGCCUGCCUAGACCGAGGACUGCGAUUUUAUCAAGGAUGCUGGCAUAAUGAUCCCAAACCGCCCGUCUUGAAAC